This 328-nucleotide ribosomal RNA is filed under the name uncultured eukaryote. RNAcentral describes it as "partial 18S ribosomal RNA". It matches the Rfam family "Eukaryotic small subunit ribosomal RNA", at positions 1470 to 1796 of the family's 1831-position model. The record is from RNAcentral.
CCCUUAGAUGUUCUGGGCCGCACACGCGCUACACUGAAGGGAUCAGCGUGUUCUUUUCCUGGUCCGAAAGGAUCGGGUAACCCGCUGAACCCCCUUCGUGGUAGGGAUCGGAGCUUGCAAUUAUUCUCCGUGAACCAGGAAUUCCCAGUAAGCGCAAGUCAUAAGCUUGCGUUGAUUACGUCCCUGCCCUUUGUACACACCGCCCGUCGCUACUACCGAUUGGACGUUUUAGUGAGGAUUUUGGACUGAGCCAAUGGUGGUUCACACCACUGUUGUGCAUGGAAAGAUCUCCAAACUUGAGCGUUUAGAGGAAGUAAAAGUCGUANCA